This 1059-nucleotide long non-coding RNA is filed under the name Astyanax mexicanus (Mexican tetra). RNAcentral's name for it is "lncRNA (ENSAMXG00005019027.1)". Lineage: Eukaryota; Metazoa; Chordata; Actinopteri; Characiformes; Acestrorhamphidae. The record is from RNAcentral.
GUCCUUCUUGCGUUUUAGGCCGGAUCUACUGGCGACAGUGGCCGCAUCCUCGGGCAGGCAUGGAUGAGACUGGCGGGUGUCGGACAGCUCGCUGAGGGUGGGGUCUUCGACCUCAGCGUCCUCUCCAAAGCCUUCGUCAGGUUCCAGCUCAUCUAACAGAUCCUCUGGGACAUCGUGAUCGUCGCUGAUGCUGGGAAGAGGACUCCCUGUCUGCGCGUACAGAUUCCUGCUGCAGAGCCUGGGGUGCAAGCACGGGCAACGAGCCAGAAGCCACAACUGGAGGAGUCGUGGUCGCGGCUGGCGUCGGAGGAGUCUUCUUCACGGCGGCCGUCGGAGGAGUCUUCUUCAGAGCUGCUGUCGGAGGAGUCUUCUUCAGAGCUGCCGUCGGAGGAAUCUUCGGCCCUGUGGCUGGAUAAAUAAAAAGGGGGUAUAAGUGGCAACAUAAAAUACUGUCGGACACUAGCAGCUUGAGUGCGUCUUUGCCUGUGCCUUUAGGAAAAUAGCGCAAUUGCCCAAGUGUUGUGCUGCAAACACAAUGCUGUGAACUACUAGGUAAAGCUGAUGCAUUAUAGGAGUUAGAAAGGUCACCUAUUCCAUAAGGGAUUAACCAAACCUAAUGGCAGCAAGCACAAAGGAAGCAGCUAUACUGAACCAAAGACGGCUCCGCUACUACCGUGAUUCUACAGGGAAGGUGUAAAAGAACUUAAGCCAUGCACAGAGACAUGGAAACCAUGUCAUGCAGUUUUACAGACUUACCCUAUCCUUGUUCCUCGUGUAUUACAAAAAAAUAGAAACACUGUAAAGUACAGCUACACAUUACCAACAUAUACAAUCACGUAUGUAUACUUAUACCCGUGUCAGUCUUACACUGUUCAUACUUACCUGCAGGGUUCUUAAAGAGUACCAGUGGGCUAACUACUGAAUUAUACUUACAUGAAUGAGUCCAUCCUCUCCAAAAAGGGAUGGGAGAAAAAGAACCUGUAAAAAAAAGAAAGUGUACGUUUAUAAUGUGUGUACAAUGAAAUCCAAUUAGUGGCUAUUGGCUAUUGUAUGUUCUGA